Imtechella halotolerans K1 is the source of this 72-nucleotide non-coding RNA. NCBI's taxonomy places the organism in Bacteria, Pseudomonadati, Bacteroidota, Flavobacteriia, Flavobacteriales, Flavobacteriaceae. The record is from Rfam.
GCUACGAGUUGGCGAAGUUGAGAAGUCAGCAGAGGCCAUAAUAGUACUAUCUGCUGGAAUAGUACGAAGGAC